UGGGGAAUAUUGGGCAAUGGGCGGAAGCCUGACCCAGCAACGCCGCGUGAAGGAAGAAGGCUUUCGGGUUGUAAACUUCUUUUCUCAGGGACGAAGCAAGUGACGGUACCUGAGGAAUAAGCCACGGCUAACUACGUGCCAGCAGCCGCGGUGAUACGUAGGUGGCAAGCGUUAUCCGGAUUUACUGGGUGUAAAGGGCGUGUAGGCGGGAAAGCAAGUCAGAUGUGAAAACCAUGGGCUCAACCCAUGGCCUGCAUUUGAAACUGUUUUUCUUGAGUACUGGAGAGGCAGACGGAAUUCCUAGUGUAGCGGUGAAAUGCGUAGAUAUUAGGAGGAACACCAGUGGCGAAGGCGGUCUGCUGGACAGCAACUGACGCUGAGGCGCGAAAGCGUGGGGAGCAAACAGGAUUAGAUACCC
This 418-nucleotide ribosomal RNA is filed under the name uncultured bacterium. RNAcentral's name for it is "bacterial SSU rRNA". It matches the Rfam family "Bacterial small subunit ribosomal RNA", at positions 355 to 787 of the family's 1533-position model. The record is from RNAcentral.